This 21-nucleotide non-coding RNA is filed under the name Caenorhabditis elegans. The record is from RNAcentral. Lineage: Eukaryota; Metazoa; Nematoda; Chromadorea; Rhabditida; Rhabditidae.
UAAAAAAACUGAUACUGAGGC